AAAACCGAUGUAAAUGCACAAAACCGCAAAAUAUCUGUAUAUUAUCGGUGGAUGUGCCCUGGCGGCCGAACGGGAACCAAUUCGACAAAUCGAGAGAAUCCACGUGGAAAAAGCCGGCGAUUCGUGGGUGUUUUCUGUUAAAAAUCUAAAAUUUACUCUAGAAAUUUCAGCGUGAACGUGAUCUCUGAAAAUUGUGGGCAAUUAACGAUUGCAAGACGAUCUCCCGCGUGCUUUUUGGCUGGAAACCAACGAAUUUUGGUCGCCGGAGGAUGUUCGGCUCCGAAUGAGCAUACGGAUUCAAUGGAAAUGCUCGAGAUUUCGGAAAUUGGAGAGAUUCGAUCGAUUUUUUUGGAUGAAAAGUUGGAGAUUGGCGCGAGUUGUUCAGGAUUCGAUUGGGAUACUCAUUCGG
This 409-nucleotide small RNA is filed under the name Caenorhabditis elegans. Its description in RNAcentral is "Unclassified non-coding RNA W09G3.17". The record is from RNAcentral. Lineage: Eukaryota; Metazoa; Nematoda; Chromadorea; Rhabditida; Rhabditidae.